RNAcentral lists this ribosomal RNA (459 nucleotides) under uncultured bacterium. Its description in RNAcentral is "partial 16S ribosomal RNA". It matches the Rfam family "Bacterial small subunit ribosomal RNA", at positions 338 to 795 of the family's 1533-position model. The record is from RNAcentral.
CCUACGGGAGGCUGCAGUGAGGAAUAUUGGUCAAUGGCCGGGAGGCUGAACCAGCCAAGUCGCGUGAGGGAAGACGGCCCUACGGGUUGUAAACCUCUUUUGUCAGGGAGCAAGGUGCAGGUCGGGACCUGCUGUGAGAGUACCUGAAGAAAAAGCAUCGGCAAACUCCGUUCCAGCUGCCGCGGUAAUACGGAGGAUGCGAGCGUUAUCCGGAUUUAUUGGGGUUAAGGGGUUGGCAGGCGGAGGAAAAGGUCAGCGGUAAAAUCGCGGGGCUCAACCCCGCUCCGCCGUUGAAACUGUGUGCCUUGAGUGCGCGAAGGGUAGGCGGAAUGCGUGGUGUAGCAGUGAAAUGCAUAGAUAUCACGCAGAACUCCGAUCGCGAAGGCAGCCUACCGGCGCGCAACUGACGCUCAUGCACGAAAGCGUGGGUAUCGAACAGGAUUAGAUACCCCAGUAGUC